UUCCGCGCUUCUCCGCGAAUCAUUUCUGCGUUAAUUCUCCCUUAGGUUGCUUGUUCUUCCACAGACGAGGUAUCGGCUAUUUUCUUCGAUUUGGGCUCCCACAUUUGCAAGAUGGUUAUGCCGGAGAAGAUGCCCCCAAGGCUGUUUUUAACUCUUAUUACCGAGUUCAUGUGGGCAUGUCCACUGCCCGCCGUAUCUGGUCAAUUCCUAGGAAAGCGAUCUGAGAGAUCGGGAAAAUGAUCGGCAAUUCUCGGAAAUGGGCUUAUAUCCGGAUCAUCACCGGCACCAUCGUCGGCGGCGUUCUCGGCUUCUAUGUAAUGCACCGCGUUGAACUGAGCUAUAAGGAGAAAAUGAAAGAGAGGUUAAAACAAUACGAAAACGAACUGAAGAAGAAGGAGCAAAUUAAAGAGGUUGAAGAUUCUGUAUAAUAGUGUGAGUGCCCUACAAUUUUCACUUCUAUCCCCUCCCGCGGAUUGUAUACUCUGAUUACGCAAUACAGAGCCGAAAUUGAAGUUCGAGGGUUUUGUGUAUCGGCUUUAGCAAUUGACCUCAUAAAGAACAAUCUCCAGUUGUAAAUUGUGGCCUAAAACAUUCCAUUGAAGUGUUUCCCAAGGUAGACGAAUUAGGGCACCGUGAAUUUAGCAAUAAAGUAGUGUAGGCUGGAAAGAAAAGAAAUUUGUUGCUGUUUUGUUUCUGAUUUCUACAUUUUUCAUCGAUUAACAUAACAGCCUGUGCUUUUGUUCUGUGAUUGAUUCAUGGUCGGUUUCUUUCAAAUUUUGAUUUUGAACAUUGGCAUGAA
This is a non-coding RNA of Cucurbita pepo subsp. pepo (vegetable marrow), 799 nucleotides long. NCBI's taxonomy places the organism in Eukaryota, Viridiplantae, Streptophyta, Magnoliopsida, Cucurbitales, Cucurbitaceae. The record is from RefSeq and is a predicted model, not a curated record.